CCUACGGGAGGCAGCAGUGGGGAAUUUUGGACAAUGGACGCAAGUCUGAUCCAGCCAUUCCGCGUGCAGGACGAAGGCCUUCGGGUUGUAAACUGCUUUUGUACGGAACGAAAAAAGCUCUUAUUAAUACUAGGAGUCCAUGACGGUACCGUAAGAAUAAGCACCGGCUAACUACGUGCCAGCAGCCGCGGUAAUACGUAGGGUGCAAGCGUUAAUCGGAAUUACUGGGCGUAAAGCGUGCGCAGGCGGUUAUAUAAGACAGAUGUGAAAUCCCCGAGCUUAACUUGGGAACUGCAUUUGUGACUGUAUAGCUAGAGUACGGCAGAGGGGGAUGGAAUUCCGCGUGUAGCAGUGAAAUGCGUAGAUAUGCGGAGGAACACCGAUGGCGAAGGCAAUCCCCUGGGCCUGUACUGACGCUCAUGCACGAAAGCGUGGGGAGCAAACAGGAUUAGAUACCCUGGUAGUCCACGCCCUAAACGAUGUCAACUGGUUGUUGGGUCUUCACUGACUCAGUAACGAAGCUAACGCGUGAAGUUGACCGCCUGGGGAGUACGGCCGCAAGGUUGAAACUCGAAAGGAUUGACGG
This 586-nucleotide ribosomal RNA is filed under the name uncultured bacterium. Its description in RNAcentral is "bacterial SSU rRNA". It matches the Rfam family "Bacterial small subunit ribosomal RNA", at positions 338 to 916 of the family's 1533-position model. The record is from RNAcentral.